ACGUUAAUAAUAAUCCGAACAAAGGAAACAAAAUACCAAAAUACAAUAGCAAGUAAUAGUAACGUACAGUAAACACACAUCAUCUAUGAGUAACCCUGUUGUCCCCCCCAACCCCGGGAGGAGCGAACAAAAAACUCUAGGGGCACCUAUCCUACAACCCUGAUUCUAGACCUCCAGACUUUCCUAUCGAGUGUCAUGUC
RNAcentral lists this long non-coding RNA (200 nucleotides) under Nicotiana benthamiana. RNAcentral describes it as "long non-coding RNA (NBEN_LNC014533)". The record is from RNAcentral. Lineage: Eukaryota; Viridiplantae; Streptophyta; Magnoliopsida; Solanales; Solanaceae.